GCGGCGUGCCUAAUACAUGCAAGUCGAACGAACGGAUAAAGAGCUUGCUCUUUUGAAGUUAGUGGCGGACGGGUGAGUAACACGUGGGUAACCUGCCUCACAGCUGGGGAUAACAUCGAGAAAUCGAUGCUAAUACCGAAUGUGCUGAACAUCAUAAGAUGUUCAAGUGAAAGACGGUUUCGGCUGUCACUGUGAGAUGGACCCGCGCUGGAUUAGCUAGUUGGUAAGGUAAUGGCUUACCAAGGCGACGAUCCAUAGCCGACCUGAGAGGGUGAUCGGCCACAUUGGGACUGAGACACGGCCCAAACUCCUACGGGAGGCAGCAGUAGGGAAUCUUCGGCAAUGGACGAAAGUCUGACCGAGCAACGCCGCGUGAGCGAAGAAGGCCUUCGGGUCGUAAAGCUCUGUUGUUAGAGAAGAACAUGGGUGAGAGUAACUGUUCACCCCUUGACGGUAUCUAACCAGAAAGCCACGGCUAACUACGUGCCAGCAGCCGCGGUAAUACGUAGGUGGCAAGCGUUGUCCGGAAUUAUUGGGCGUAAAGCGCGCGCAGGCGGUCUCUUAAGUCUGAUGUGAAAGCCCCCGGCUCAACCGGGGAGGGUCAUUGGAAACUGGGAGACUUGAGGACAGAAGAGGAGAGUGGAAUUCCAAGUGUAGCGGUGAAAUGCGUAGAUAUUUGGAGGAACACCAGUGGCGAAGGCGGCUCUCUGGUCUGUUACUGACGCUGAGGCGCGAAAGCGUGGGGAGCAAACAGGAUUAGAUACCCUGGUAGUCCACGCCGUAAACGAUGAGUGCUAAGUGUUAGGGGGUUUCCGCCCCUUAGUGCUGCAGUUAACGCAUUAAGCACUCCGCCUGGGGAGUACGACCGC
RNAcentral lists this ribosomal RNA (869 nucleotides) under Brochothrix sp. WTPin_37. Its description in RNAcentral is "bacterial SSU rRNA". It matches the Rfam family "Bacterial small subunit ribosomal RNA", at positions 39 to 889 of the family's 1533-position model. The record is from RNAcentral. Lineage: Bacteria; Bacillati; Bacillota; Bacilli; Caryophanales; Listeriaceae.